RNAcentral lists this long non-coding RNA (268 nucleotides) under Phoenix dactylifera (date palm). RNAcentral describes it as "long non-coding RNA (PDAC_LNC012862)". Lineage: Eukaryota; Viridiplantae; Streptophyta; Magnoliopsida; Arecales; Arecaceae. The record is from RNAcentral.
UCAGAUGGUGUGGAUGUGGAUGGUCUCCUAACUCAGACUCCCUUGACUCUGUGGAAUCCCAUACGAUGAAGAGUCCCCUCACCCAUGUGAUCAGUAUGAUGAAGUGAGCGAGAGGGUUCCCCCUCAGGGAUAGGGACCUCUAACUCCCUAAAGAUGAGUGUGAAUAGCAUGCCAUACGGGAGACUCAACCUAGGUUUAUCUAGGGGUUCACAGAUAUAUUUGUAGAUGAGUUUAGAAAAGUUGAUGGGAGUGUCUUGGAGAAUAUGGA